RNAcentral lists this long non-coding RNA (7008 nucleotides) under Brassica napus (rape). Its description in RNAcentral is "long non-coding RNA (BNAP_LNC010697)". Lineage: Eukaryota; Viridiplantae; Streptophyta; Magnoliopsida; Brassicales; Brassicaceae. The record is from RNAcentral.
UUAUUUGGGUUUAGGUUCUAUACUUGGGUUUAGGGUUUAGUGAUUAGGAUUUAGGGUUUAGUAUUUGGAAGGUGCGGGUUGAGGUUUGGGUUUAGUGAUAGCAGUUUAGGGUUUAGUAUUCAAAAGUUGGGUCUGGAUUUAGCAUUUAGGAGUUGUGUGUUGAAUUAGAGACUUAGAGUCCUAUACUAUUUCGAUGAUAUGAAACACAUUUUGUAUUUGAGUUUAGGGUUUGUAUUUAGAUUUCGGAUUUAGUGUUUAGGGUUUAGUAUUUAGAGGCUUGGAGUAGGUGGGGUUGGGAUAAAAUUUAUUAUUUAGGGGUUUGGAUAGAGUUGAUCUCUUAUACUAUUUUGUUAUACUAAAUAGAACUUGUGUUUAGUAAGUAAUGAAAUAUACCAUUUAUUGCAAAGGUGUUUUAAUUUUAUUCACGCUUUACUGUGCAUGGUUAACUGCACCGUCAUAAAUUGCACUAUCAGAAAUUGCACGCUUUAGGGAUCUAGGUUUAUAGUAAAGUUUAGUUGCACUAUCAUAAAUUGCAUACUAUAAUAAAUAAGUAUGUGGUAAAUAAAUGUUUGGUGUGGUUUCCACUACGUGAUGGAAUUAUAAUAAUUGUGUUUAAUUUCUAGCCAUAACUAUAAUUGAUGAUGUCAUCCACACUCUUCUUCUUUCACCGAGUACCUGUCAAAAGAGAAGGUAUAACCGAUUCAAUCAUAGGCAAAAUGUUACUAGGUUAAUAAUGUCAAAAUCAAUGCUAUUGGCUUAAUUUCUAUUGCAAACUUGGUUAUUUGCAAAUUCACCCAAAAUAAAAUUCAAAAUAAUUCAACUGUUAACAAUACUGUUCACUUUUUCAAGAAUGUGUUCAGUGGAAAAAUAAGGUUUUUGUGUCAUAAUUUAUUUAAUGUCUAAUCCGAUCAAUCCAUGAUAUAUUAAUUAUAGUUUAGUUACACAAUUUUUAAUAAAAAAUGAUCUGGUCCAUCAGAAAAAAUUAUAUAAUAACAACAAAAAAUAUUGUAUAUAUAUAAAUAAAAUGAUCAAAUAUAUAAAAAAAAAUUGUCUAUAAUAUAUACAAAUAAACUCACCAUGCGCUUAUCCCAGUUUUAUAUCAUUUGUGCCUUUAAUAUGAAAGUACACUGUUGAAAAACAACGUCGUAAUAUGAAGUAUCAAAACAUGACUCAUACAAUCUUAUAUUGGUAUGAAGUAUCAAAACAUGACUCAUACAAUCUUAUAUUGGUUUCUAAAGUCUUUUGACAGUUAUAUCCAAGUUAUCAAAUUAGUUUUUAUUGUAGUUUCUUUUGUAGUGGAAAUGUAUUUUCUUGCCCUAUAAUAGGUUGGUGUAAUUAUCUCUUUUAUUCAUUAUAGUUCAUUUGUAUAUAAAUGAAUUUGUUAUUGGUUAAUUGGUUUAGAGGCAGUUUACCCCUUAUAUAUAGUGGAUAUGGUACUAAAAGACCGCUGAAAAUUGCAAGUGGUUCGUACAUGCAAAUGGCAAUUAGUACUUUAUGAAAGUUAUAAGUCAUGUUGGUCCACUCCAAUUAUAUAUGUUCUUGAACGAGUGUUUGUCUACUCAUCCUCCACUCCAAAAUCUUAGUUAUUUCCUGUCUGAAACCAACCUUGCCAAUUUGGUCGUUUUUAAUUAUACAGUAAAUAAGUACAGUGAAACCUCUAUAAAUUAAUAAUGUUGGGACUACACCAAAACUAUAAUUUUUAUUAAUUUAUAAAGAUAUUAAUUUAUCGAUAUACUAAUUAAACCAAAAACUCCAUUUGAUACUAUAAAAUUAUAUUAUUUUAUAGAGAUUUUUAGUGUAUAUUAAUUUAUAGAGUAUUAAUUUAAAGAGGUUAUAUUGUAUAUACUUUUUCAUAUGUUCUUCGUGUGGAAGUGGAAGUGGUUAUCCACAACUACAAUCUUGACAUAAUAUGAUUAGAAGAGAUUAUAGACCAAUUAAUCAAAUAUCCUUUGCGACCACAGACCGGUGAGGGACGCUCUUGAUGUAUUUGCAUAAACGCAUCUCUCCAUUCUACUCCUCUUAUCUCUAGCCGUGUCGCCGCUGGCCUGUCAGUUAUAAACACGUUCUUGUGCUUUUUUUUUAUGUAGCAACUGAAAUAAAAAAAAUGGUGACACGAAGACUUCCUAAAAAAUCACAUAUCUUAAUGCUACUCUCGUUCAAGCACGCUUAACUACGGAGGAGUUCUGAUGAAAUCCAUACAUUAGCACUAGUAAAAAUCUUCCGCAUAGCCACGAUAGUGCCAGUGUAAAAUCGUGGCUUAUUUGAAAAAGUCACUGUUUAGCUACGGUUAGCCACAAUUUUUUAAAAAGCCACGAUUAUUCUUUUAUAGCCACGAUUCAGUCACUAAAUAAUCAUGGUUAUUUUAGUAGCCACGAUUUAGCUACGAAAUAACAGUGGCUAAUCGUUAGCCACGACUCAGCCACUUUAUUUUUGUGGCUAUUUAGUUUUUCUAUACCCUAAACCUUAAACUUCAAAAUUAAAUUAUAUAUCCUAGAUACUAAAACCAAAAUACAAAUAUAACAUCUUUUCAAACUUUAAAUAUAAAUGUUAAAUUUAAAUUCUAAAUAUAAAUUUCUUUAAAAUCCAUUAUAAAUCUUAAACCUAAACCCUUAUCUUAAACUUUACAUACAAAAACCAUAAAUCUAAUGUUUUCAAACCACAAACCUUAUAUCAUACAUUAAAUCACAAAUAUUUAAAUCUAAUUAAACCCAAAAUUUAUAUAUUUCAAACUCUAAAAAUAUUUAUACUUUCAAUUAUUUAAUCUUAACAUUUACAUUUAAUCCUUAACAAGUAUACUCAAAUCCUAUUUCUCAAACUAUAAACUCUAUAUUGUAAACAUAUAUCAUUAAACCAUGAAGCAUUAUAUCUUAAAUUCAAAAUAUUGAAAUUUAAAUUGAAAAUCUUAUCAAUUUUCUUUAGGUUAUGCACUAUAAUCAUAAGCUAACAACUAAAUAAUAAAAAGAAAAGAAAUACUGAAAUCUAAUGCUAAUUCCUAAACUAACUUCUCAUUGGUCAAAAGAAGAAAGGAACGGAUUACCCCCUGUUAGAUCACAACCAUUCAUAAAGAUCCAUCGAACGGCCACAACUACACACGCUUUAUAUUUUUAUUUUUAAUUUAUUUUCUUCUUCCUUCUCUUCUCUCGUCUCUGAUUUUUUUCUAGAUCUAAGUUUCGUUUUCACACAGAUCUCUCUACCGCUCACACAUCUCUCCAUCUCUAGGGAAAUUUGGCUGUAUAACCUUCAAACAAAUUAUAAUUCAUUCUAUGUCUAAAUACCCUAAUACACCAAUACACCAUGCAUCUUUUAUAUAAUAAUACUACUAUGCCCUCUUACACAACCGGUAAAACCUGUAAACUAAAAAAAACUAAAUUAAUAAUACUUACCUUACACACAUACAACGUGGCCUUUGGAGAAUCACAUACCUUGUAGAACGUGGGUUGUUUCUUCUCCAUUUUUGAUCCACUGUGUAACCACCAAAACCAUUUCUGGAGUAGCUUUGCCUAUGAGAUGCCCAUCUGCAAUGACUCGCUUCGCUACUGACAAAAAGCUUUGCGCAUCUGAAAUCUAUGGAGUCGCCGACAACGUAAACGGCACCGCCGCAAGGUUCGUCAACUCUUCCUUCAAUCACCUUAAUCUUUUCGGUUUACGAGGCGGUUACAUGUACUAUUCUCACGGAUGUUGCCAGUUACACAUAUCUUUCUCGCUGUGAAUAUCCUUGAAUUGAUCGGAGAAGAUGAACAGUUUUUGUAACAUUGUGUUCUAUUCUAUUUUAUGCGUAUGGAAUAGAAAUGUAAAACAAUAUGUAUUAUGAAUGUUUUAUUCAUGUUAUGUAAUGUGAAAUAGUCUGUUACUAUACUUAUUUAUCAUGUAUCGUUCCACUUGAUGAUUAAUAAAGAAUGUGUUAUUUUCUUCACCAAUAUGUACUAUAUACUAUGUAUUUUAUUCCAUUCUAUUUGGGUUUAGGGUUUAGUGAUUAAGAUUUAAGGUUUAGUAUUUGGAAGUUAGGGGUUGAGGUUUGGGUUUAGUGAUAGCAGUUUAGGGUUUAGUAUUCAAAAGUUAGAUAUGGAAUUAGCAUUUAUGAGUUGUGUGUUGGGUUAGAGCCUAUACUUUUCAAAAAUUAGGUUUGGAUUUAGUUUAAUAUUACAAAAUAUUAUAUACUAUUUUCAGAUUUUGGUAAUUAGAUUUAGGGAUUAUAAUUAUGUUUUAUAUUUGAGUUUAGUAUUUUAAAGUUUGUUUUGGGUUUAGUAUUUAAGAGUUGUAAUAUGUAUUAUGAAUGUGCUAUUCAUGUUAUGUAAUGCAAAAUAGUAUGUUACUAUACAUUUUUAUCAUGUAUCAUUCCAUUUGACGAUUAAUAAAGAAUGUAUUAUUUUAUUCACCAGUAUGUACUAUACUAUAUAUUUUGUUCUAUUUUAUUUGGGUUUAGGGUUUAUACUUGGAUUUAGGGUUUAGUGAUUAGGAUUUAGGGUUUAGUACGUAGAAAGUGGGGUUGAAGUUUGGGUUUAGUGACCCUAUCAUGUAUUGUUCCAUUUGAUGAUUAAUAAAAAAGUGUUUUAUUUUGUUCACCAAUAUGUACUAUACUAUGUAUUUUGUUUUAUUUUAUUUGGGUUUAGGUUCUAUACUUGGGUUUAGGGUUUAGUGAUUAGGAUUUAGGGUUUAGUAUUUGGAAGGUGCGGGUUGAGGUUUGGGUUUAGUGAUAGCAGUUUAGGGUUUAGUAUUCAAAAGUUGGGUCUGGAUUUAGCAUUUAGGAGUUGUGUGUUGAAUUAGAGACUUAGAGUCCUAUACUAUUUCGAUGAUAUGAAACACAUUUUGUAUUUGAGUUUAGGGUUUGUAUUUAGAUUUCGGAUUUAGUGUUUAGGGUUUAGUAUUUAGAGGCUUGGAGUAGGUGGGGUUGGGAUAAAAUUUAUUAUUUAGGGGUUUGGAUAGAGUUGAUCUCUUAUACUAUUUUGUUAUACUAAAUAGAACUUGUGUUUAGUAAGUAAUGAAAUAUACCAUUUAUUGCAAAGGUGUUUUAAUUUUAUUCACGCUUUACUGUGCAUGGUUAACUGCACCGUCAUAAAUUGCACUAUCAGAAAUUGCACGCUUUAGGGAUCUAGGUUUAUAGUAAAGUUUAGUUGCACUAUCAUAAAUUGCAUACUAUAAUAAAUAAGUAUGUGGUAAAUAAAUGUUUGGUGUGGUUUCCACUACGUGAUGGAAUUAUAAUAAUUGUGUUUAAUUUCUAGCCAUAACUAUAAUUGAUGAUGUCAUCCACACUCUUCUUCUUUCACCGAGUACCUGUCAAAAGAGAAGGUAUAACCGAUUCAAUCAUAGGCAAAAUGUUACUAGGUUAAUAAUGUCAAAAUCAAUGCUAUUGGCUUAAUUUCUAUUGCAAACUUGGUUAUUUGCAAAUUCACCCAAAAUAAAAUUCAAAAUAAUUCAACUGUUAACAAUACUGUUCACUUUUUCAAGAAUGUGUUCAGUGGAAAAAUAAGGUUUUUGUGUCAUAAUUUAUUUAAUGUCUAAUCCGAUCAAUCCAUGAUAUAUUAAUUAUAGUUUAGUUACACAAUUUUUAAUAAAAAAUGAUCUGGUCCAUCAGAAAAAAUUAUAUAAUAACAACAAAAAAUAUUGUAUAUAUAUAAAUAAAAUGAUCAAAUAUAUAAAAAAAAAUUGUCUAUAAUAUAUACAAAUAAACUCACCAUGCGCUUAUCCCAGUUUUAUAUCAUUUGUGCCUUUAAUAUGAAAGUACACUGUUGAAAAACAACGUCGUAAUAUGAAGUAUCAAAACAUGACUUCCUUGAAUUGACCGGAGAAGAUGAACAGUUUUUGUAACAUUGUGUUCUAUUCUAUUUUAUGCGUAUGGAAUAGAAAUGUAAAACAAUAUGUAUUAUGAAUGUUUUAUUCAUGUUAUGUAAUGUGAAAUAGUCUGUUACUAUACUUAUUUAUCAUGUAUCGUUCCACUUGAUGAUUAAUAAAGAAUGUGUUAUUUUCUUCACCAAUAUGUACUAUAUACUAUGUAUUUUAUUCCAUUCUAUUUGGGUUUAGGGUUUAGUGAUUAAGAUUUAAGGUUUAGUAUUUGGAAGUUAGGGGUUGAGGUUUGGGUUUAGUGAUAGCAGUUUAGGGUUUAGUAUUCAAAAGUUAGAUAUGGAAUUAGCAUUUAUGAGUUGUGUGUUGGGUUAGAGCCUAUACUUUUCAAAAAUUAGGUUUGGAUUUAGUUUAAUAUUACAAAAUAUUAUAUACUAUUUUCAGAUUUUGGUAAUUAGAUUUAGGGAUUAUAAUUAUGUUUUAUAUUUGAGUUUAGUAUUUUAAAGUUUGUUUUGGGUUUAGUAUUUAAGAGUUGUAAUAUGUAUUAUGAAUGUGCUAUUCAUGUUAUGUAAUGCAAAAUAGUAUGUUACUAUACAUUUUUAUCAUGUAUCAUUCCAUUUGACGAUUAAUAAAGAAUGUAUUAUUUUAUUCACCAGUAUGUACUAUACUAUAUAUUUUGUUCUAUUUUAUUUGGGUUUAGGGUUUAUACUUGGAUUUAGGGUUUAGUGAUUAGGAUUUAGGGUUUAGUACGUAGAAAGUGGGGUUGAAGUUUGGGUUUAGUGACCCUAUCAUGUAUUGUUCCAUUUGAUGAUUAAUAAAAAAGUGUUUUAUUUUGUUCACCAAUAUGUACUAUACUAUGUAUUUUGUUUUAUUUUAUUUGGGUUUAGGUUCUAUACUUGGGUUUAGGGUUUAGUGAUUAGGAUUUAGGGUUUAGUAUUUGGAAGGUGCGGGUUGAGGUUUGGGUUUAGUGAUAGCAGUUUAGGGUUUAGUAUUCAAAAGUUGGGUCUGGAUUUAGCAUUUAGGAGUUGUGUGUUGAAUUAGAGACUUAGAGUCCUAUACUAUUUCGAUGAUAUGAAACACAUUUUGUAUUUGAGUUUAGGGUUUGUAUUUAGAUUUCGGAUUUAGUGUUUAGGGUUUAGUAUUUAGAGGCUUGGAGUAGGUGGGGUUGGGAUAAAAUUUAUUAUUUAGGGGUUUGGAUAGAGUUGAUCUCUUAUACUAUUUUGUUAUACU